GUAGGUGGCAAGCGUUGUCCGGAAUUAUUGGGCGUAAAGCGCGCGCAGGCGGUUCUUUAAGUCUGAUGUGGAAGCCCACGGCUCAACCGUGGAGGGUCAUUGGAAACUGGAGAACUUGAGUACAGAAGAGGAAAGCGGAAUUCCACGUGUAGCGGUGAAAUGCGUAGAGAUGUGGAGGAACGCCAGUGGCGAAGGCGGCUUUCUGGUCUGUAACUGACGCUGAGGCGCGAAAGCGUGGGGAGCAAACAGGAUUAGAUACCCUGGUAGUCCACGCCGUAAACGAUGAGUGCUAAGUGUUAGGGGGUUUCCGCCCCCCUUAGUGCUGCAGCUAACGCAUUAAGCACUCCGCCUGGGAGUACGGCCGCAAGGCUG
Molecule: ribosomal RNA, 372 nt
Filed under: uncultured organism
Description: partial 16S ribosomal RNA
Rfam family: Bacterial small subunit ribosomal RNA
Source: RNAcentral